UAAAAUAGUUGCCUUCUUUUUCAUAACACU
RNAcentral lists this non-coding RNA (30 nucleotides) under Mus musculus (house mouse). Lineage: Eukaryota; Metazoa; Chordata; Mammalia; Rodentia; Muridae. The record is from RNAcentral.